GGUUAAGCGACUAAGCGUACACGGUGGAUGCCCUGGCAGUCAGAGGCGAUGAAGGACGUGCUAAUCUGCGAAAAGCGUCGGUAAGGUGAUAUGAACCGUUACAGCCGGCGAUGUCCGAAUGGGGAAACCCAGUGCAAUUCGUUGCACUAUCGUUAACUGAAUACAUAGGUUAACGAGGCGAACCGGGGGAACUGAAACAUCUAAGUACCCCGAGGAAAAGAAAUCAACCGAGAUUCCCCCAGUAGCGGCGAGCGAACGGGGAGCAGCCCAGAGUCUGAAUCAGCUUGUGUGUUAGUGGAACGGUCUGGAAAGUCCGACGGUACAGGGUGAUAGUCCCGUACACCAAAAUGCACAGGCUGUGAACUCGAAGAGUAGGGCGGGACACGUGGUAUCCUGUCUGAAUAUGGGGGGACCAUCCUCCAAGGCUAAAUACUCCUGACUGACCGAUAGUGAACCAGUACCGUGAGGGAAAGGCGAAAAGAACCCCGGCGAGGGGAGUGAAAAAGAACCUGAAACCGUGUACGUACAAGCAGUGGGAGCACCUUCGGGUGUGACUGCGUACCUUUUGUAUAAUGGGUCAGCGACUUAUAUUCUGUAGCAAGGUUAACCGUAUAGGGGAGCCGCAGGGAAACCGAGUCUUAACUGGGCGUUAAGUUGCAGGGUAUAGACCCGAAACCCGGUGAUCUAGCCAUGGGCAGGUUGAAGGUUGGGUAACACUAACUGGAGGACCGAACCGACUAAUGUUGAAAAAUUAGCGGAUGACUUGUGGCUGGGGGUGAAAGGCCAAUCAAACCGGGAGAUAGCUGGUUCUCCCCGAAAGCUAUUUAGGUAGCGCCUCGUGAAUUCAUCUUCGGGGGUAGAGCACUGUUUCGGCUAGGGGGUCAUCCCGACUUACCAACCCGAUGCAAACUACGAAUACCGAAGAAUGUUAUCACGGGAGACACACGGCGGGUGCUAACGUCCGUCGUGAAGAGGGAAACAACCCAGACCGCCAGCUAAGGUCCCAAAGUCAUGGUUAAGUGGGAAACGAUGUGGGAAGGCACAGACAGCCAGGAUGUUGGCUUAGAAGCAGCCAUCAUUUAAAGAAAGCGUAAUAGCUCACUGGUCGAGUCGGCCUGCGCGGAAGAUGUAACGGGGCUAAACCAUGCACCGAAGCUGCGGCAGCGACACUAUGUGUUGUUGGGUAGGGGAGCGUUCUGUAAGCCUGCGAAGGUGACCUGUGAGGGUUGCUGGAGGUAUCAGAAGUGCGAAUGCUGACAUAAGUAACGAUAAAGCGGGUGAAAAGCCCGCUCGCCGGAAGACCAAGGGUUCCUGUCCAACGUUAAUCGGGGCAGGGUGAGUCGACCCCUAAGGCGAGGCCGAAAGGCGUAGUCGAUGGGAAACAGGUUAAUAUUCCUGUACUUGGUGUUACUGCGAAGGGGGGACGGAGAAGGCUAUGUUAGCCGGGCGACGGUUGUCCCGGUUUAAGCAUGUAGGCUGGUUAUCCAGGCAAAUCCGGAUAAUCAAGGCUGAGGUGUGAUGACGAGGCACUACGGUGCUGAAGUAACAAAUGCCCUGCUUCCAGGAAAAGCCUCUAAGCAUCAGGUAACAUCAAAUCGUACCCCAAACCGACACAGGUGGUCAGGUAGAGAAUACCAAGGCGCUUGAGAGAACUCGGGUGAAGGAACUAGGCAAAAUGGUGCCGUAACUUCGGGAGAAGGCACGCUGGUGUGUAGGUGAAGUCCCUGCGGAUGGAGCUGAGACCAGUCGAAGAUACCAGCUGGCUGCAACUGUUUAUUAAAAACACAGCACUGUGCAAACACGAAAGUGGACGUAUACGGUGUGACGCCUGCCCGGUGCCGGAAGGUUAAUUGAUGGGGUUAUCCGUAAGGAGAAGCUCUUGAUCGAAGCCCCGGUAAACGGCGGCCGUAACUAUAACGGUCCUAAGGUAGCGAAAUUCCUUGUCGGGUAAGUUCCGACCUGCACGAAUGGCGUAAUGAUGGCCAGGCUGUCUCCACCCGAGACUCAGUGAAAUUGAACUCGCUGUGAAGAUGCAGUGUACCCGCGGCAAGACGGAAAGACCCCGUGAACCUUUACUAUAGCUUGACACUGAACAUUGAGCCUUGAUGUGUAGGAUAGGUGGGAGGCUUUGAAGCGUGGACGCCAGUCUGCGUGGAGCCGACCUUGAAAUACCACCCUUUAAUGUUUGAUGUUCUAACGUUGGCCCCUUACCGGGGUUGCGGACAGUGUCUGGUGGGUAGUUUGACUGGGGCGGUCUCCUCCCAAAGCGUAACGGAGGAGCACGAAGGUUAGCUAAUCCUGGUCGGACAUCAGGAGGUUAGUGCAAUGGCAUAAGCUAGCUUGACUGCGAGCGUGACGGCGCGAGCAGGUGCGAAAGCAGGUCAUAGUGAUCCGGUGGUUCUGAAUGGAAGGGCCAUCGCUCAACGGAUAAAAGGUACUCCGGGGAUAACAGGCUGAUACCGCCCAAGAGUUCAUAUCGACGGCGGUGUUUGGCACCUCGAUGUCGGCUCAUCACAUCCUGGGGCUGAAGUAGGUCCCAAGGGUAUGGCUGUUCGCCAUUUAAAGUGGUACGCGAGCUGGGUUUAGAACGUCGUGAGACAGUUCGGUCCCUAUCUGCCGUGGGCGCUGGAGAAUUGAGGGGGGCUGCUCCUAGUACGAGAGGACCGGAGUGGACGCAUCACUGGUGUUCGGGUUGUCAUGCCAAUGGCACUGCCCGGUAGCUAAAUGCGGAAGAGAUAAGUGCUGAAAGCAUCUAAGCACGAAACUUGCCCCGAGAUGAGUUCUCCCUGAGACUUUAAGUCUCCUGAAGGAACGUUAAAGACGAUGACGUUGAUAGGCCGGGUGUGUAAGCGCAGCGAUGCGUUGAGCUAACCGGUACUAAUGAACCGUGAGGCUUAACCUU
This 2902-nucleotide ribosomal RNA is filed under the name Klebsiella pneumoniae. RNAcentral describes it as "23S ribosomal RNA". It matches the Rfam family "Bacterial large subunit ribosomal RNA". Lineage: Bacteria; Pseudomonadati; Pseudomonadota; Gammaproteobacteria; Enterobacterales; Enterobacteriaceae. The record is from RNAcentral.